GGGGACCUGCGGAGCGGCCCAAAUCCGGGGGGAGGCCAUGGGGGACCCGGGGGGGGGGACUGGAGGGACCCCAAAGCCUUCAGGGAACCCCACAGCGAAUUGAGGGGUCCCCAAAACCCCCAGGGAACCAGGGGGGGACCCCAAAUCCCUCAGGGAUUUCCAUAGGGAAGCGGGGAGAGACCCCAAAGCCCUCAGGGGACCCCAAAGGGGACUGGGGGGUCCCCAAAGCCCCGAGGGGACCAGGAGGGACCCCAAUGUCCCCAGGGACACCACAGGGAACCAUGGGGGGACCCCAAAUGCCUCAGGGAACCCCAUAGGGAAGUGGUGGGGACCCCAGAGCUCUCAGGGAACCCCACAGGGGAGCCCGGGGGACCCCAAAUCCCUCAGGGAAGUGGGAAGGGACUCCAAAUCCCUCAGGAAAUCCCAUAGGGAACCAUGGAGGGACCCCAAAUCCUUUAGGGAACCCCGUAGGGGACUGAGAGGUCCCCAAAACCCCCAAGGACCCAGGGGGGACCCCAAAUCCCUCAGGGAACCCCAUAGGGAGCCAUGGGGAGACCCCUGAACCCCCAGGAAACCCCAUAGGGGACUUGGGGGGGUCCCCAAAGCCCCCAGGGAACCCCGUAGGGAACCAGGGAGGGACCCCAAAUCCCUCAGGGAACCCCACAGGGGAGCCCGGGGGACCCCAAAUCCCUCAGGGAGGUGGGAAGGGACCCCAAAGCCCUCAGGGAACCCCACAGGGGAGCCCGGGGGACCCCAAAUCCCUCAGAGAAGUGGGAAGGGACCCCGAAUCCCUCAGGAAACCCCACAGGGAAGUGGAGGGGACCCCAAAUCCCUCAGGGAACCCCAUAGGGAACCAUGGGGAGACCCCUGAGCUCUCAGGGAACCCCAUAGGGGACUGGGGGGGGGUCCCCAAAGCCCCCAGGGAACCCCGUAGGGAAGUGGGGGGGGACCAAAACCUCGAGGGAACGAGGGGGGAACCCCAAAUCUCUCAGGGAAGUGGGAAGGGACCCCAAAGCCCUCAGGGAACCCCACAGGGGACUGAGAGGUCCCCAAAACCCCCAGGGAACCAGGGGGGGCCCCAAAUCCCUCAGGGAACCCUAUAGGGAGCCAUGGGGAGACCCCUGAGCCCCCAGGAAACCCCAUAGGGGACUUGGGGGGUCCCCAAAGCCCCCAGGGAACCCCAUAGGGAAGUGGGGGGACCAAAACUUCGAGGGAACGAGGGGGGGGGGACCCCAAAUCCCUCAGGGAACCGGGAAGAGACCCCAAAGCCCUCAGGGAACCCCACAGGGGAGCCCGGGGGGACUCCAAAUCCCUCAGG
This 1318-nucleotide long non-coding RNA is filed under the name Apteryx haastii (Great spotted kiwi). RNAcentral's name for it is "lncRNA (ENSAHAG00000001149.1)". The record is from RNAcentral. Lineage: Eukaryota; Metazoa; Chordata; Aves; Apterygiformes; Apterygidae.